GUACUCACUUCGGCAGCACAUAUACUAAAAUUGGAACAAUAUGGAGAAGAUUAGCAUGGACGCUGCGCAAGGAUACAGGCAAUUUUGUAAAGGGUUCCAUGGUUUA
RNAcentral lists this small nuclear RNA (106 nucleotides) under Microcebus murinus (gray mouse lemur). The record is from RNAcentral. Lineage: Eukaryota; Metazoa; Chordata; Mammalia; Primates; Cheirogaleidae.